RNAcentral lists this long non-coding RNA (347 nucleotides) under Vigna radiata. Its description in RNAcentral is "long non-coding RNA (VRAD_LNC001552)". Lineage: Eukaryota; Viridiplantae; Streptophyta; Magnoliopsida; Fabales; Fabaceae. The record is from RNAcentral.
AUGUUUUUAUUGCUCAUAGUUUGAUGGUGAUUAUUGUGACUUAUUGUUUAUUAUGAUUUUUUUUAGUAUUUAUAUAUGUAGUAUAAGUUAUUUUGUAUGCAUUUAAAAUAGCAAUCAUUCUGCCUCCUGCUAUCAUUUUUUAGUGUUUCCAGAGUUAGCUGAUUCGUGCCACUUUCUAAGAUUGAGUAUGUUUUCAAUAAUACAUGUCAGAAAAUACAAUUACGUCCAUUUGUUUUUGAUGAUUUUUUCAAUUUCGGUACAUUUUGAUGCUUCCUUUUUGAGCAGUUGGUGUAUUUUGUUGCAUUUCAAUACUAUCAUGAGUUGUUUUCACCAAUGUUGGCGCACCN